This 393-nucleotide unclassified non-coding RNA is filed under the name soil metagenome. RNAcentral describes it as "partial contains 5.8S ribosomal RNA, internal transcribed spacer 2, and large subunit ribosomal RNA". The stretch from base 4 to 121 matches the Rfam family "5.8S ribosomal RNA", at positions 39 to 154 of the family's 154-position model. The record is from RNAcentral.
GAUAAGAACGUAGCGAAAUGCGAUACCUGGUGUGAAUUGCAGAAUCCCGCGAACCAUCGAGUCUUUGAACGCAAGUUGCGCCCGAGGCCACCCGGCCGAGGGCACGCCUGCCUGGGCGUCACGCCAAAACACGCUCCCCCCCCCCCUCACCGGGGGAGCGGGACGCGGCGUCUGGCCCCCCGUGCCGCGAGGCGCGGUGGGCCGAAGAUCGGGCUGCCGGCGUACCGUGCCGGGCACAGCGCGUGGUGGAUCUCUACUCGGCGCAGUGCACCCGGCGCGUAGCCAGCGCAGCGGCCCCUAAGGACCCAACGAACGGAGCGCGAGCCGCUCCGACCGCGACCCCAGGUCAGGCGGGACUACCCGCUGAGUUUAAGCAUAUCAAUAAGCGGAGGA